GGGGUUGUGGCUCAGCAGGGGAGUGCUCACCUAGCACGUGCGAGGCCCUGGGUUCGAUCCUCAGCACCACA
This 71-nucleotide transfer RNA is filed under the name Marmota monax (woodchuck). Its description in RNAcentral is "tRNA.Ala". The record is from RNAcentral. Lineage: Eukaryota; Metazoa; Chordata; Mammalia; Rodentia; Sciuridae.